CCUACGGGAGGCAGCAGUGGGGGAUAUUGCACAAUGGGGGAAACCCUGAUGCAGCGAUGCCGCGUGAAUGAAGACGGCCUUCGGGUUGUAAAGUUCUUUCGCGGGGGACGUAAAUGACGGUACCCUGCAAGAAAGCUCCGGCUAACUACGUGCCAGCAGCCGCGGUAAUACGUAGGGAGCAAGCGUUGUCCGGAAUUACUGGGUGUAAAGGGAGCGUAGGCGGGGGGAUAAGUUGAAUGUGAACUCUAUGGGCUCAACCCAUAGCUGCGUUCAAAACUGUUCUUCUUGAGUGAAGUAGGGGCAGGCGGAAUGCAUGGUGUAGCGGUGAAAUGCGUAGAUAUUAGGAGGAACGCCGGUGGCGAAGGCGACCUGCUGGGCUUUUACUGACGCUGAGGCUCGAAAGCGUGGGUAGCAAACAGGAGUAGAUACCCUAGUAGUC
RNAcentral lists this ribosomal RNA (439 nucleotides) under uncultured bacterium. Its description in RNAcentral is "partial 16S ribosomal RNA". It matches the Rfam family "Bacterial small subunit ribosomal RNA", at positions 338 to 795 of the family's 1533-position model. The record is from RNAcentral.